GAGGCAGCAGUAGGGAAUCUUCCACAAUGGGCGCAAGCCUGAUGGAGCAACACCGCGUGAGUGAAGAAGGGUUUCGGCUCGUAAAGCUCUGUUGUUGGAGAAGAACGUGCGUGAGAGUAACUGUUCACGCAGUGACGGUAUCCAACCAGAAAGUCACGGCUAACUACGUGCCAGCAGCCGCGGUAAUACGUAGGUGGCAAGCGUUAUCCGGAUUUAUUGGGCGUAAAGCGAGCGCAGGCGGUUGCUUAGGUCUGAUGUGAAAGCCUUCGGCUUAACCGAAGAAGUGCAUCGGAAACCGGGCGACUUGAGUGCAGAAGAGGACAGUGGAACUCCAUGUGUAGCGGUGGAAUGCGUAGAUAUAUGGAAGAACACCAGUGGCGAAGGCGGCUGUCUGGUCUGCAACUGACGCUGAGGCUCGAAAGCAUGGGUAGCGAACAGGAUUAGAUACCCUGGUAG
RNAcentral lists this ribosomal RNA (456 nucleotides) under uncultured bacterium. Its description in RNAcentral is "bacterial SSU rRNA". It matches the Rfam family "Bacterial small subunit ribosomal RNA", at positions 345 to 793 of the family's 1533-position model. The record is from RNAcentral.